RNAcentral lists this ribosomal RNA (253 nucleotides) under uncultured bacterium. Its description in RNAcentral is "partial 16S ribosomal RNA". It matches the Rfam family "Bacterial small subunit ribosomal RNA", at positions 524 to 776 of the family's 1533-position model. The record is from RNAcentral.
UACGUAGGUGGCAAGCGUUGUCCGGAUUUAUUGGGUUUAAAGGGUGCGUAGGCGGCUUAAUAAGUCAGUGGUGAAAGCCGAUCGCUUAACGAUCGAACUGCCAUUGAUACUGCUAGGCUUGAGUAUAGUUGAGGUAGGCGGAAUUGACAGUGUAGCGGUGAAAUGCAUAGAUAUUGUCAAGAACACCAAUUGCGAAGGCAGCUUACUAAACUAUAACUGACGCUGAGGCACGAAAGUGUGGGGAUCAAACAGG